Molecule: ribosomal RNA, 403 nt
Filed under: Onchocercidae sp. AK-2011
Lineage: Eukaryota; Metazoa; Nematoda; Chromadorea; Rhabditida; Onchocercidae
Description: partial 12S ribosomal RNA
Source: RNAcentral
UUGUAUGUCUGAGCUUGUUUUUAUUUUUUAAUUUUAAUUUUUUUGUAAAAUAUUUUAAUUUAGUUUUGUUUUGCUUAGAUGUUAAAAUUUUGGUUUUUGAACUGGAUUAGUACCCAGGUAAUCAAAGUUAAUUAAUGCGGGAGUAAAGUUUUGUUUAAACCGAAAAAAUAUUGACUGACUUUGGAUUUUUCUUUGGAACAUGUGUUUGGAGAGCCCUCUUUAUUGGUAGACUAUGUAGGCACAUGUAUGAUUGUUUAGUUUUUAUGUUAUUAGUAAUGCUUUUUUAAGUAAAAACAGAUAUAUAUUUGGCUAAUGAGUCUAGUUAUCAUGUGUUACUAUUAUUAAUUUUUUUUGGAUAAAUUUAUUUAUUUUAUUUUGAAAUUGGAAAAGAAAGUAAUUUAUU